This 301-nucleotide ribosomal RNA is filed under the name uncultured bacterium. Its description in RNAcentral is "partial 16S ribosomal RNA". It matches the Rfam family "Bacterial small subunit ribosomal RNA", at positions 509 to 809 of the family's 1533-position model. The record is from RNAcentral.
CAGUCGCCGCGGGAAAACGUAGGUGGCAAGCGUUGUCCGGAAUUAUUGGGCGUAAAGGGCUCGCAGGCGGUUUCUUAAGUCUGAUGUGAAAGCCCCCGGCUCAACCGGGGAGGGUCAUUGGAAACUGGGAAACUUGAGUGCAGAAGAGGAGAGUGGAAUUCCACGUGUAGCGGUGAAAUGCGUAGAGAUGUGGAGGAACACCAGUGGCGAAGGCGACUCUCCGGUCUGUAACUGACGCUGAGGAGCGAAAGCGUGGGGAGCAAAUGGGAUUAGAUACCCCCGUAGUCCCUGUCUCUUAUAU